UACGGAGGGUGCAANGCGUUAUCNCGGAUUCACUGGGGUUUAAAGGGUGCGUAGGCGGGUAGGUAAGUCAGUGGUGAAAUCCUGGAGCUCAACUCCAGAACUGCCAUUGAUACUAUCUAUCUUGAAUAUUGUGGAGGUAAGCGGAAUAUGUCAUGUAGCGGUGAAAUGCUUAGAUAUGACAUAGAACACCCAUUGCGAAGGCAGCUUACUACGCAUAUAUUGACGCUGAGGCACGAAAGCGUGGGGAUCAAACAGGAUUAGAUACCCUGGUAGUCCACGCCCUAAACUAUGGAUACUCGACAUAUGCGAUACACUGUAUGUGUCUGAGCGAAAGCAUUAAGUAUCCCACCUGGGAAGUACGUUCGCAAGAAUGAAACUCAAAGGAAUUGGCGGGGGUCCGCACAAGCGGUGGAGUAUGUGGUUUAAUUCGAUGAUACGCGAGGAACCUUACCUGGGCUAGAAUGCUGGGAGACCGCUAGUGAAAGCUAGUUUUGUAGCAAUACACUGCCAGUAAGGUGCUGCAUGGCCGUCGUCAGCUCGUGCCGUGAGGUGUUGGGUUAAGUCCCGCAACGAGCGCAACCCCUAUCUUUAGUUGCCAACAGGUAAUGCUGGGAACUCUAAAGAAACUGCCGCCGUAAGGUGUGAGGAAGGAGGGGAUGAUGUCAGGUCAUCAUGGCCUUUAUGCCCAGGGCUACACACGUACUACAAUGGGGGAGACAAAGGGCUGCAACAUAGCGAUAUGAAGCCAAUCCCAAAAACUCCCUCUCAGUUCAGAUUGCAGGCUGCAACUCGCCUGCAUGAAGCUGGAAUCGCUAGUAAUCGUAUAUCAGCAAUGAUACGGUGAAUACGUUCCCGGACCU
RNAcentral lists this ribosomal RNA (860 nucleotides) under uncultured bacterium. RNAcentral's name for it is "SSU rRNA". It matches the Rfam family "Bacterial small subunit ribosomal RNA", at positions 524 to 1381 of the family's 1533-position model. The record is from RNAcentral.